RNAcentral lists this ribosomal RNA (445 nucleotides) under uncultured bacterium. RNAcentral's name for it is "partial 16S ribosomal RNA". It matches the Rfam family "Bacterial small subunit ribosomal RNA", at positions 354 to 796 of the family's 1533-position model. The record is from RNAcentral.
GUGAGGAAUAUUGCGCAAUGGAGGCAACUCUGACGCAGCCAUGCCGCGUGCAGGAAGAAGGCGCUACGCGUUGUAAACUGCUUUUAACCGGGUAGAAACCCCAGGACGUGUCCUGGGUUGACGGUACCGGAGGAAUAAGCACCGGCUAACUUCGUGCCAGCAGCCGCGGUAAUACGAAGGGUGCAAGCGUUAUCCGGAUUCAUUGGGUUUAAAGGGUGCGUAGGCGGAGCGUUAAGUCAGUGGUGAAAUCCUGCAGCUUAACUGUAGACUUGCCAUUGAUACUGGCGCUCUUGAGUGCGCUUGAAGUGGGCGGAAUGUGCCGUGUAGCGGUGAAAUGCUUAGAUAUGGCACAGAACACCAAUUGCGAAGGCAGCUCACUAAGGCGAUACUGACGCUGAGGCACGAAAGCGUGGGGAUCGAACAGGAUUAGAAACCCUUGUAGUCC